AUGGCCCUCCCUUCUCCUCUCAGCCUCCCGGUAUCCUCUCCUUCAAGGCACUAUUGCUUAGGAUUUGGCCACUUGGAGCAGCAACUCAGAGACAGUGGCUUAAGCCAAGAGAAGUUUGCUUUUCUUGCCCAACAAGAAGUACAGGGCUGGUACAGUGGCUUGAGGAUGUUACCGAGGACCAGCCUCCCCCGUUUAACAAGUGGCUUCCAUCAUCUUGUUUGGAAAAUAGCUAAUUCCACUGGUGGGCUUUACAUCUACACUGCGACAAAAGUUGCAAAAGUCUUUUAUGCUAGGUCACUCAAUACAGCUUUUCUCAGUCCUAAAUAUUGUGCAAGGUAGGAAUGAAAGUCUUAAAUCAGGAACCAACUGUUAAAAGAACUCUGGAUGGGAGAAGACCAUGAAAAGCACAACUCUGACUGAAAACAAAUAUUGACCAGUCAGUGUGAUAUAUAGAAAAAAGCAUGCAGACUUCAGAAAUCAGAAAAAACUGACUUUAAAUCUCUGCCUGUGAACAAGGUUUUGAUCACUCAGAUCAUCUAUUUUCUCCUCUAUAAAGAAGGACUGAAACCUUCGUAAAUACUUCUAAUAAACAUAUAUUACCUAGCUCAAAAGUGAGUGAAGUGAACUAACGAUUAAAAUGAAAAGGUCUGACCACACAAUCUAGCAACCAUCCUUCCUCUUAUUCACCCAAAGAAGAUGAAAACAUGUCCACACAAAAUCCAACACACUGACAUUUAUAGCAUCUUUAUUCAAAAUACCCAAACCUAUAAGCAACCAAGAUGCCUUUCAGUAUGUGAAAGAAUAAAAAAACUGUGAAACAUCUAGACAAUAGACUGCUAUUCAGUACUAAAAAUAAAUGAGCUCUUAUCCCAUGAAAUGACAUGGAGGAACUUAAAGACAUACUUCAUUUUUUUUAUUUUAAAGAGAAUAAUUAAAAGAACAAUAGCAAAUACCAACACCAAUAUAGACAAAAACAAAACAAAGCAAAAACAAUAAAAAUGAUACAGGGUUUCAGAACAAAAUGAUAGGGAUUAACAGUGGUUAUUGUAUUAUAUGUUGUUAUCUUCAACAAAGUUGCUCAAGUUACCAUGUGUAAGAAUACAAGAUUGAUCACAACAAUAUGCAAUACAACAACCAUUGAUGAAUUUUUACCAUCUUGUCUAGUGAAACUCUGUAUUAUUCCUAUUUUUUGUAAUUAUUAUUUUAUUAUUUUUUAAUUCUCUUCAAUGGUUUCAUCAAUAAAGACGUAUUUCAACUGUAUGACUUUCUGAAAUAAGCAAAACUGUGGAUACUAUAAGAAAAAAACCUGUGGAUACUACUUACGUAGUUGCCAGGAGUUAGAGCAGAAAGAGGGAUGAAUCAGCAGAGCAGAAGAUUUUAUUUUUUAGAGUCAUGAAAUUACUCUGUAUGAAAUUAUACCAGUGGGUACAUGCUUUAUGCACUGCCCAAG
This 1450-nucleotide long non-coding RNA is filed under the name Chinchilla lanigera (long-tailed chinchilla). RNAcentral's name for it is "lncRNA (ENSCLAG00000026926.1)". The record is from RNAcentral. Lineage: Eukaryota; Metazoa; Chordata; Mammalia; Rodentia; Chinchillidae.